RNAcentral lists this ribosomal RNA (953 nucleotides) under marine metagenome. RNAcentral's name for it is "bacterial SSU rRNA". It matches the Rfam family "Bacterial small subunit ribosomal RNA", at positions 8 to 954 of the family's 1533-position model. The record is from RNAcentral.
AGAGUUUGAUCAUGGCUCAGAUUGAACGCUGGCGGCAGGCCUAAGACAUGCAAGUCGAACGGUAACGACACUAGCUUGCUAGUGGGCGACGAGUGGCGGACGGGUGAGUAACGCGUAGGAAUCUACCUAGUAGUGGGGGAUAGCCAAGGGAAACUUUGGGUAAUACCGCAUACGAUCUACGGAUGAAAGGGGGCCUCUCUUUGAAGCUCUCGCUAUUAGAUGAGCCUGCGUAAGAUUAGCUUGUUGGUGGGGUAAUGGCCUACCAAGGCGACGAUCUUUAGCUGGUCUGAGAGGAUGAUCAGUCACACUGGAACUGAGACACGGUCCAGACUCCUACGGGAGGCAGCAGUCGGGAAUAUUGGACAAUGGGGGAAACCCUGAUCCAGCCAUGCCGCGUGUGUGAAGAAGCUCUAGGGUUGUAAAGCACUUUUAGUAAGGAGGAAGGCUCAGUAGUUAAUACCUGCUGGGAUUGACGUUACUUACAGAAAAGCACCGGCUAAUUUCGUGCCAGCAGCCGCGGUAUACGAAAGGUGCAAGCGUUAAUCGGAAUUACUGGGCGUAAAGCGCGCGUAGGCGGCUUGGUAAGUUAGAUGUGAAAGCCCCGGGCUCAACCUGGGAACUGCAUCUAAAACUGCUAGGCUAGAGUAUGGUAGAGGAUGGCGGAAUUUCCUGUGUAGCGGUGAAAUGCGUAGAUAUAGGAAGGAACAUCAGUGGCGAAGGCGGCCAUCUGGACCAAUACUGACGCUGAGGUGCGAAAGCGUGGGGAGCAAACAGGAUUAGAUACCCUGGUAGUCCACGCCGUAAACGAUGAGAACUAGCCGUUGGACAUCUUGCAUGUUUAGUGGCGCAGCUAACGCGAUAAGUUCUCCGCCUGGGGAGUACGGCCGCAAGGUUAAAACUCAAAUGAAUUGACGGGGGCCCGCACAAGCGGUGGAGCAUGUGGUUUAAUUCGA